UCUUCAGCUUCCAUAGGCAGGUUCUGCUUCCCUCAAACUUAGGAAAGGGCUUCAGAUGUGGAGCAGCCUAAAAGAAUGACACAUGCCCACUCUAAUUAGCUGGCCAAAUUAGUUCUACAGAAGAGAAGUACCAUGGGAUUUUGGAGCAGAAAGUGAUGAUUCUGAGGAGGCUUUAGAGGAGGGGAGAUUUGAUCAAGUCUUGAAGGAUGAGAAAGUUGGUAGGGUUGUAGGUAGGGAUAGGAGAAGGAUUUCGAGAGACACAUAUGGAAUGACAAUAUUAAGAAUGCUGAACUGGGGAAAACAAAUGCAAGCGCUGUGCUAGCAGGAAGGUCUGUGAUGUUUGCAGUAAAGCCAUUAUGAAGUCAAGAAUGGAGGUUCCAUUUUUAAAGAACUCAGAGGGGGUAGAUCUUGAUUGACAUCUCAUCUGGGGUCACCUGGUCUUCAACUGAGAGAUCUUUUGGUUCGCCACGGAUGCCCCUUGCAGUUAUGGAAGAAUCUCACCUUGUCACCCAGGCUGGAGUGCAAUGGCAUGAUCUCAGCUCACUGCAACCUCUGUUUCCCAGGCUCAAAUGAUUCUCCUGCCUCAGCCUCCUGAGUAGCUGGGAUUACAGGCGCCCAUGGACUACCAGCUUUUUAAGUGGACUUUUUAGCCAAAGGUCAAGGGAAACUACCCUCUUCCUAC
This 682-nucleotide long non-coding RNA is filed under the name Pan troglodytes (chimpanzee). RNAcentral's name for it is "long non-coding RNA NONPTRT011089". Lineage: Eukaryota; Metazoa; Chordata; Mammalia; Primates; Hominidae. The record is from RNAcentral.